UGGAUUUUUUGAACAGAGA
RNAcentral lists this microRNA (19 nucleotides) under Corchorus capsularis. RNAcentral's name for it is "sRNA CCACVL1_06807". The record is from RNAcentral. Lineage: Eukaryota; Viridiplantae; Streptophyta; Magnoliopsida; Malvales; Malvaceae.